This 770-nucleotide ribosomal RNA is filed under the name uncultured archaeon. RNAcentral's name for it is "bacterial SSU rRNA". It matches the Rfam family "Archaeal small subunit ribosomal RNA", at positions 91 to 859 of the family's 1478-position model. The record is from RNAcentral.
CAGUAACACGUGGAUAACCUGCCCUUGGNANNNGGAUAACCCCGGGAAACUGGGGAUAAUACCGGAUAACGCAUAUCUGCUGGAAUGCUUUAUGCGUAAAAUGGAUUUGUCUGCCCAAGGAUGGGUCUGCGGCCUAUCAGGUAGUAGUGGGUGUAAUGUACCUACUAGCCUACGACGGGUACGGGUUGUGAGAGCAAGAGCCCGGAGAUGGAUUCUGAGACAUGAAUCCAGGCCCUACGGGGCGCAGCAGGCGCGAAAACUUUACAAUGCGGGAAACCGUGAUAAGGGGACACCGAGUGCCAGCAUCAUAUGUUGGCUGUCCAGAUGUGUAAAAUACAUCUGUUAGCAAGGGCCGGGCGAGACCGGUGCCAGCCGCCGCGGUAACACCGGCGGCCCGAGUGGUGAUCGUGAUUAUUGGGUCUAAAGGGUCCGUAGCCGGUUUGGUCAGUCCUCCGGGAAAUCUGACGGCUCAACCGUUAGGCUUUCGGUGGAUACUGCCAGACUUGGAACCGGGAGAGGUAAGAGGUACUACAGGGGUAGGAGUGAAAUCUUGUAAUCCCUGUGAGACCACCUGUGGCGAAGGCGUCUUACCAGAACGGGUUCGACGGUGAGGGGCGAAAGCUGGGGGCACGAACCGGAUUAGAUACCCGGGUAGUCCCAGCCGUAAACGAUGCUCGCUAGGUGUCAGGCAUGGCGCGACCGUGUCUGGUGCCGCAGGGAAGCCGUGAAGCGAGCCACCUGGGAAGUACGGCCGCAAGGCUGAAACUUAA